Molecule: ribosomal RNA, 446 nt
Filed under: uncultured bacterium
Lineage: Bacteria
Description: bacterial SSU rRNA
Rfam family: Bacterial small subunit ribosomal RNA
Source: RNAcentral
UUCCAGACUCCUACGGGAGGCAGCAGUGGGGAAUAUUGCACAAUGGGGGAAACCCUGAUGCAGCGACGCCGCGUGAGCGAAGAAGUACCUCGGUAUGUAAAGCUCUAUCAGCAGGGAAGAAAGUGACAGUACCUGACUAAGAAGCCCCGGCUAACUACGUGCCAGCAGCCGCGGUAAUACGUAGGGGGCAAGCGUUAUCCGGAAUUACUGGGUGUAAAGGGAGCGUAGACGGUGAAGUAAGUCUGGAGUGAAAGGCGGGGGCCCAACCCCCGGACUGCUCUGGAAACUAUUUGACUGGAGUGCAGGAGAGGUAAGCGGAAUUCCUAGUGUAGCGGUGAAAUGCGUAGAUAUUAGGAGGAACACCAGUGGCGAAGGCGGCUUACUGGACUGUAACUGACGUUGAGGCUCGAAAGCGUGGGGAGCAAACAGGAUUAGAUACCCUUGUA